GAUGAACGCUGGCGGCGCGCCUAAUGCAUGCAAGUCGAGCGACGCACACCCAGUCCGUAAGGACAGGGUAUGACGGAGCGGCGAACGGGUGAGUAACACGUGAACAACCUGCCCACAGACCGGGAUAGCCCAGGGAAACCUGGAUUAAUACCGGAUACCCUCAUAGGACCGCAUGGUCUCUUGAGGAAAUGCCUUUGUGCUGUGGGAUGGGGUUCGCGACUUAUCAGCUUGUUGGUGGGGUAACGGCCUACCAAGGCUUCGACGAGUAGCUGGUCUGAGAGGACGAUCAGCCACACUGGAACUGAGACACGGUCCAGACUCCUACGGGAGCAGCAGCAGGGAAUCUUGUCCAAUGGGCGAAAGCCUGAGACAGCGACGCCGCGU
Molecule: ribosomal RNA, 384 nt
Filed under: uncultured bacterium
Lineage: Bacteria
Description: bacterial SSU rRNA
Rfam family: Bacterial small subunit ribosomal RNA
Source: RNAcentral